Molecule: ribosomal RNA, 696 nt
Filed under: uncultured bacterium
Lineage: Bacteria
Description: bacterial SSU rRNA
Rfam family: Bacterial small subunit ribosomal RNA
Source: RNAcentral
AACGCUAGCUACAGGCUUAACACAUGCAAGUCGAGGGGAAACGAUAGAGAAAGCUUGCUUUUUCUAGGCGUCGACCGGCGCACGGGUGAGUAACGCGUAUCCAACCUGCCCAUCACUUGGGGAUAACCUUGCGAAAGUAAGACUAAUACCCAAUGACGUCUCUAGAAGACAUCUGAAAGAGAUUAAAGAUUUAUCGGUGAUGGAUGGGGAUGCGUCUGAUUAGCUUGUUGGCGGGGUAACGGCCCACCAAGGCGACGAUCAGUAGGGGUUCUGAGAGGAAGGUCCCCCACAUUGGAACUGAGACACGGUCCAAACUCCUACGGGAGGCAGCAGUGAGGAAUAUUGGUCAAUGGGCGAGAGCCUGAACCAGCCAAGUAGCGUGCAGGAUGACGGCCCUAUGGGUUGUAAACUGCUUUUAUAAGGGAAUAAAGUGAGAGUCGUGACUCUUUUUGCAUGUACCUUAUGAAUAAGGACCGGCUAAUUCCGUGCCAGCAGCCGCGGUAAUACGGAAGGUCCGGGCGUUAUCCGGAUUUAUUGGGUUUAAAGGGAGCGUAGGCCGGAGAUUAAGCGUGUUGUGAAAUGUAGACGCUCAACGUCUGCACUGCAGCGCGAACUGGUUUCCUUGAGUACGCACAAAGUGGGCGGAAUUCGUGGUGUAGCGGUGAAAUGCUUAGAUAUCACGAAGAACUCCGAUUG